UAGCAGAAUUCAGUGAAUCAUUCGAAUCUUUCGAACGCACCUUGCCGCUCCUUGGGUAUUCCGAGGAGCAUGCCUGUUUGAGUGUCAUU
This 89-nucleotide ribosomal RNA is filed under the name uncultured fungus. Its description in RNAcentral is "partial 5.8S ribosomal RNA". It matches the Rfam family "5.8S ribosomal RNA", at positions 72 to 154 of the family's 154-position model. From Rfam's summary of the family: 5.8S ribosomal RNA (5.8S rRNA) is a component of the large subunit of the eukaryotic ribosome. It is transcribed by RNA polymerase I as part of the 45S precursor that also contains 18S and 28S rRNA. The record is from RNAcentral. Lineage: Eukaryota; Fungi.